GGCGGUGGGCAACUCUGUAUACGAUUCUGAUGAUUACGGUUAAAUUACAAAUCAGGCUGAUGAGGAAUAGACAAAUGCACAGACCCGUCUUACGAACGAGACAGAAGUAUUAGGCAACGGCAUUCCUAACACUAACGAAACAAAAGAACAAGUUUUUGAUGUUACCAAUACUACCCAGUCCACCUCGUGUACAAUAAUCACGUUCGGCAAAUGACGACUAAGUAUGAAGCUUAAAGCAAAAAAAAAAAACGGAAAAAAAAAACGAAAGAAAAACAUCCUGGGAUCGAUUUGUUCGACUGAAACCUUUCGAGGCGGUGCUCCAGCAUAGCCGCAGUCCAAUGAAUGAAACAAGUAAAAAAUAAAAAAUAAUAAAAAGGUAAAAAAUGAAAGAUAAGUGACAGUACUUGAUCAAAUAUACUCAGAGAAAUCCAGCAAAUCCCUACAAAAAUAGAGGGAAUAAUAAGGAAGUUAAUAAACACGUCUUGUUAUAUGUGAAGUAUUAAAGACCAACGAUCCGAACCCAUCGGUUUAAUGAGGUAUCACAAACUAUCACUGCGUAAAAUAGUUGUCUCGAAACUUAGACGUUUAAUUUUGAACUAAGGCCUAUAUAACAUGUUGUUGUUGGCACUCCGUCGCUUACGACGUCGAGGGUUCCAGUUGAUCCGAUCAACGGAACAGCCUGCUCGUGAAAUUAACGUGCAAGUAGCUGAGCACUCCACAGACACGUGUACCCUUUAACGUAGUUCUCGGGGGAGAUUCAGCGUGACACAGUGUGACAAGGCUGACCCUUUGAAUUACAGGCACAACAGAAACAGGAAGUAAGAGUGAGAGAAAGUUGUGGUGGAAGGGUACAGCAGGGUUCGCCACCAUCCCCUGCCGGAACCUCGUGGGGCUUUAGGUAUUAAAUGCAACUGUAUUGAUUCCGUACACAACAAUGUCUUUAUUAUGAAUUAUAUAUAAGCGUAUUUAACAUCCCCUUCAUAAUUUGUUUCGUUGGGAGUGUAUUCAUGUU
This is a long non-coding RNA of Octopus bimaculoides (California two-spot octopus), 1012 nucleotides long. The record is from RefSeq and is a predicted model, not a curated record. Lineage: Eukaryota; Metazoa; Mollusca; Cephalopoda; Octopoda; Octopodidae.